AGUGAACUCUGGCGGUAGGCCUAACACAUGCAAGUCGAACGGCAGCACAGUAAGAGCUUGCUCUUACGGGUGGCGAGUGGCGGACGGGUGAGGAAUACAUCGGAAUCUACUUUUUCGUGGGGGAUAACGUAGGGAAACUUACGCUAAUACCGCAUACGAACUACGGGUGAAAGCAGGGGCUCUUCGGACCUUGCGCGAUUGAAUGAGCCGAUGUCGGAUUAGCUAGUUGGCGGGGUAAAGGCCCACCAAGGCGACGAUCCGUAGCUGGUCUGAGAGGAUGAUCAGCCACACUGGAAGUGAGACACGGUCCAGACUCCUACGGGAGGCAGCAGUGGGGAAUAUUGGACAAUGGGCGCAAGCCUGAUCCAGCCAUACCGCGUGGGUGAAGAAGGCCUUCGGGUUGUAAAGCCCUUUGUUGGGAAAGAAAAGCAGCAGGUUAAUACCCCGCUGUUCUGACGGUACCCAAAGAAUAAGCACCGGCUAACUUCGUG
RNAcentral lists this ribosomal RNA (491 nucleotides) under uncultured bacterium. RNAcentral's name for it is "partial 16S ribosomal RNA". It matches the Rfam family "Bacterial small subunit ribosomal RNA", at positions 29 to 507 of the family's 1533-position model. The record is from RNAcentral.